UCAGAACGAACGCUGGCGGCGUGGAUAAGACAUGCAAGUCGAACGGGAUCAGUGAGGUAGCAAUACAUCAUUGGUUCAGUGGCGAACGGGUGCGUAACACGUGGAUACAUUCCGGGAAGCGGGGGAUAGCCCAGGGAAACUUGGAUUGAUACCGCAUGUGAUCGAAAGAUCAAAGACGGGGACCGCAAGGCCUGUCACUUCCCGAUUGGUCCGCGGCCUAUCAGCUAGUUGGCGGGGUAAUGGCCCACCAAGGCAACGACGGGUAGCUGGUCUGAGAGGACGACCAGCCACACUGGAACUGAGACACGGUCCAGACACCUACGGGUGGCAGCAGUCGAGAAUCUUUCACAAUGGGGGAAACCCUGAUGGAGCGACGCCGCGUGGAGGAUAAGGUCUUCGGAUUGUAAACUCCUGUCAUGCGUGAACAAGGUGGCUAGGUUAAUAACCUGUGCCAAUUGAUGGUAACGCAAGAGGAAGAGACGGCUAACUCUGUGCCAGCAGCCGCGGUAAUACAGAGGUCUCAAGCGUUGUUCGGAAUCACUGGGCGUAAAGGGUGCGUAGGUGGCGUGGUAAGUCAGAUGUGAAAGCCCGGGGCUCAACCUCGGAACUGCAUCCGAUACUGCCGUGCUAGAGUACUGAAGAGGUGACUAGAAUUCUAGGUGUAGCAGUGAAAUGCGUAGAUAUCUAGAGGAAUACCAA
This 699-nucleotide ribosomal RNA is filed under the name uncultured bacterium. RNAcentral describes it as "bacterial SSU rRNA". It matches the Rfam family "Bacterial small subunit ribosomal RNA", at positions 24 to 712 of the family's 1533-position model. The record is from RNAcentral.